Molecule: ribosomal RNA, 432 nt
Filed under: uncultured bacterium
Lineage: Bacteria
Description: partial 16S ribosomal RNA
Rfam family: Bacterial small subunit ribosomal RNA
Source: RNAcentral
AACGAACGCUGGCGGCAGGCCUAACACAUGCAAGUCGAGCGCGCCCUUCGGGGUGAGCGGCGGACGGGUGAGUAACGCGUGGGAACGUGCCCUUCUCUGCGGAAUAGCCUCGGGAAACUGAGAGUAAUACCGCAUACGCCCUUUGGGGGAAAGAUUUAUCGGAGAAGGAUCGGCCCGCGUUGGAUUAGGUAGUUGGUGGGGUAAUGGCCCACCAAGCCGACGAUCCAUAGCUGGUUUGAGAGGAUGAUCAGCCACACUGGGACUGAGACACGGCCCAGACUCCUACGGGAGGCAGCAGUGGGGAAUCUUAGACAAUGGGGGCAACCCUGAUCUAGCCAUGCCGCGUGAGUGAUGAAGGCCUUAGGGUUGUAAAGCUCUUUCAGCUGGGAAGAUAAGGACGGUACCAGCAGAAGAAGCCCCGGCUAACUCCGU